Molecule: ribosomal RNA, 292 nt
Filed under: uncultured eukaryote
Lineage: Eukaryota
Description: partial 18S ribosomal RNA
Rfam family: Eukaryotic small subunit ribosomal RNA
Source: RNAcentral
GGUUGAUCCUGCCAGCGGUGAUAUGCUUAGAUAAAAGAUUAAGCCAUGCAUGUCUAUGAUCAUACCGGCUAAUGGUGAAUCUGCGAAUGGCUCAUUAAAACAGCUAUAAUCUACUCGAUCUUGUUUCCUAAACGGAUAACUGCGCUAAUUUUGGAGCUAAUACGUGCAUCAAAGCCCUGACGAAAGGAGGGGCGCACUUAUUAGACUAAGACCGAUCGGGUUCGUCCCGUCUUGGUGACUCUGAAUAAUUUAGCGGAUCGCAUGGUCUUGUACCGGCGACGUAUCGUUCGAG